This 85-nucleotide transfer RNA is filed under the name Felis catus (domestic cat). It matches the Rfam family "tRNA". Rfam says of the family: Transfer RNA (tRNA) molecules are approximately 80 nucleotides in length. Their secondary structure includes four short double-helical elements and three loops (D, anti-codon, and T loops). Lineage: Eukaryota; Metazoa; Chordata; Mammalia; Carnivora; Felidae. The record is from Rfam by way of RNAcentral.
GCCUGGGUGGCUCAGUCGGUUGAGCUUCCGACUUCGGCUCAGGUCAUGAUCUCGUGGUCUGUGAGUUCAAGCCCCGCCUCAGGCU